GACACUAUGGCCGAGUGGUUAAGGCGUGUGACUAGAAAUCACAUGGGUUCGCCCGCACAGGUUCAAGUCCUGUUGGUGUCG
Neophaeococcomyces mojaviensis is the source of this 81-nucleotide non-coding RNA. The record is from the annotation of a GenBank genome assembly. NCBI's taxonomy places the organism in Eukaryota, Fungi, Ascomycota, Eurotiomycetes, Chaetothyriales.